UAAUAAGGGCUAUUAGGGUUGUUCACAAUGGCAAUCAUACCAGGCAGCAACAAUGGCAAUUCAGGUGCUUUUGGCUUCUUUGAGCUCACAAGUGCCGCAGUUGAUCCAGAGUCUGCAACCAAUGGCUUUUUGGGAGGUGGGUUUUUCUCAAUGAACUUUUGCAACCCCUUCUCACCACCAGGAAAUCCCCCAGUAAGCCCCAUAAGCUCCUUUUCAAAAGCAUCUUCUUGAACGCUUUUAAGAGCACUUGCCGAAGAACUAUCUGAUUUUUCUUCAUCUGUUUCAGCAGCAACAGCUGCUGAUACUUGUUCUUCCACAUCUUUUUGUUCUUCAACAUUUCUUGUAAGCUCUUGUAGCAGACCUUCUUCACCAUUGCAAAGCCCUCUGCCUCCCAAGAUUUCAGAUAGAUUGAAUUUGGCACACGGCCUUAGGGAAUGGAUCGAUGGCUGUUUGUGAAUUGUGAAAGACGAUUUAUGAGCACGAUUGGAGAGAUCAUUUCUUCCAAGAAAAUUGGAUUUGAGAAGAGGGCCUUGAAAGCUUGGGAGAGUUAUGU
Molecule: long non-coding RNA, 553 nt
Filed under: Prunus persica (peach)
Lineage: Eukaryota; Viridiplantae; Streptophyta; Magnoliopsida; Rosales; Rosaceae
Description: long non-coding RNA (PPER_LNC005457)
Source: RNAcentral